UACGGAGGGGGCUAGCGUUGUUCGGAAUUACUGGGCGUAAAGCGCGCGUAGGCGGCUUUUCAAGUCAGGGGUGAAAUCCCGGGGCUCAACUCCGGCACUGCUCUUGAAACUGGAUGGCUAGAAUCCUGGAGAGGCGAGUGGAAUUCCGAGUGUAGAGGUGAAAUUCGUAGAUAUUCGGAAGAACACCAGUGGCGAAGGCGGCUCGCUGGACAGGUAUUGACGCUGAGGUGCGAAAGCGUGGGGAGCAAACAGG
Molecule: unclassified non-coding RNA, 253 nt
Filed under: uncultured Sphingomonadaceae bacterium
Lineage: Bacteria; Pseudomonadati; Pseudomonadota; Alphaproteobacteria; Sphingomonadales; Sphingomonadaceae
Description: contains 16S-23S intergenic spacer region
Rfam family: Bacterial small subunit ribosomal RNA
Source: RNAcentral